Salmo salar (Atlantic salmon) is the source of this 890-nucleotide non-coding RNA. Lineage: Eukaryota; Metazoa; Chordata; Actinopteri; Salmoniformes; Salmonidae. The record is from RefSeq and is a predicted model, not a curated record.
AGUGGUAGGUAGGCUACCUGGCAGUUAAUAGAUAUCACAAAUGUUCCUUCACUUGAGACUGAUUUAGAAAGGGAGUCUCUGGAUUACACCCAAACUACACCACGUAUAACAACACUGCCCAACCCUCCAGGACUCCAAGACCCAAAACAGAACCAUGUGAGACCAUGUUUGGCUGAGGAAACACUAUGAACAUUGACGUGAAAUAUGGCGAGCCCUCUUAUUGUCUGGCAUGUUUCCCAGACAGCCUCCUAAAGAACAGGCAGUUCAAGACCAACCAGGAAGUCGAGCCUGAAUCCCCCUCAAGUUUUCCCAUGGUGAGACUGCCUGAAACCAGUGUUGUGUGUCUGUGUGUACUGAUUAAUUAUUUAUAGCUAGACCUUCAUUGGGACAUCUAAUCUGCAGGGUACAUGAUGUUACGUUCCCCAGUUUCUGUUUUGUAUGUGUUUGUGUGUAUUUCAGGAAAUGGCUUCCUGAAGUCCAAAGCAGCUGAUUGGUUGGCCCCAUCGAUGAUUGGAGCUCUGACCCCGCACUCUUGUCAGGGGAUACAGCUGUCUGCAAUAUCCGACUUCUUCUGCAGCUUUAAAAGCCAUUGUUCCUUUGUUAGGAGAGAGAGCUUCUUGGGAGGAAGGGGAAGGCACCUUGGGAGUGCUUAGGCAAGAGGCCUGCGGGCAGACAUAUAUCCGUAGUAUGUGCUCUGUCUAUGCACACUAGGUAAGACCUGGGCAGACCAUCCCCUGUAUUUUGGUUUCGCACGCCAGGUGGCGCAAAGAAUAGGUAAGUGGUACGUAAGGUAGGAGAGGGGGCUCUUUUACUUUCUGUGCUUUGAUUCCGUCCAGCCCCUUUUCCCCACCUUACCGUGUGAAGGAAAUAAAUUCCCUGUUAAUGGUAAA